CGGCGAGGGGAGUGAAAAAGAACCUGAAACCGUGUACGUACAAGCAGUAGGAGCCCCAUCACUCAAGUGCCUCGCACUGAGUGAUGCAAUAACAUCACCGAAAAUAGCGCCGAAUUUGCUAACAAGGUUGGUCGAUUUUUUCAAGCCGUCGCGCAGUGUACCUAGAAGUACACGAGCAACGGAAGUUAAAAAAUCGGGCAAGAUUGAACGCAAAGGCAAGCGGGACAUUUGAGGAUGGGGUGACUGCGUACCUUUUGUAUAAUGGGUCAGCGACUUAUAUUCUGUAGCAAGGUUAACCGUAUAGGGGAGCCGUAGGGAAACCGAGUCUUAACUGGGCGAAUGAGUUGCAGGGUAUAGACCCGAAACCCGGUGAUCUAUCCAUGGGCAGGUUGAAGGUUGGGUAACACUAACUGGAGGACCGAACCGACUAAUGUUGAAAAAUUAGCGGAUGACUUGUGGAUGGGGGUGAAAGGCCAAUCAAACCGGGAGAUAGCUGGUUCUCCCCGAAAGCUAUUUAGGUAGCGCCUCGUGAACUCAUCUUCGGGGGUAGAGCACUGUUUCGACUAGGGGGUCAUCCCGACUUACCAACUCGAUGCAAACUGCGAAUACCGAAGAAUGUUAUCACGGGAGACACACGGCGGGUGCUAACGUCCGUCGUGAAGAGGGAAACAACCCAGACCGCCAGCUAAGGUCCCAAAGUCAUGGUUAAGUGGGAAACGAAGUGGGAAGGCUCAGACAGCCAGGAUGUUGGCUUAGAAGCAGCCAUCAUU
RNAcentral lists this ribosomal RNA (770 nucleotides) under Proteus mirabilis. RNAcentral describes it as "partial 23S ribosomal RNA". It matches the Rfam family "Bacterial large subunit ribosomal RNA", at positions 527 to 1123 of the family's 2925-position model. Lineage: Bacteria; Pseudomonadati; Pseudomonadota; Gammaproteobacteria; Enterobacterales; Morganellaceae. The record is from RNAcentral.